AUGUCAUGGUGUAGAAACUCCCUCAAGAGACUUUUGAAUCUCUCUCAUGCUUCAUUUAGACUCUCACCUUCUUUAUCAUUCAAUAUUACAAUCUUAGCUCUCAUUUU
This 107-nucleotide small nucleolar RNA is filed under the name Beta vulgaris subsp. vulgaris (sugar beet). RNAcentral describes it as "Plant small nucleolar RNA R71". It matches the Rfam family "Plant small nucleolar RNA R71". Rfam says of the family: R71 is a member of the C/D box family of snoRNAs containing the C (UGAUGA) and D (CUGA) box motifs. Multiple nearly identical copies of this snoRNA have been identified in Arabidopsis, and it is thought to function as a 2'-O-ribose methylation guide for 18S ribosomal RNA. The record is from Rfam by way of RNAcentral. Lineage: Eukaryota; Viridiplantae; Streptophyta; Magnoliopsida; Caryophyllales; Amaranthaceae.